GACGAACGCUGGCGGCGUGCUUAACACAUGCAAGUCGAGCGGUAAGGCCCUUUCGGGGGUACACGAGCGGCGAACGGGUGAGUAACACGUGGGUGACCUGCCUUUAGCUCUGGGAUAAGCCUGGGAAACUGGGUCUAAUACCGGAUAUGACUCCAUGAUGCAUGUUGUGGGGUGGAAAGCCUUGUGCGGCUGAAGAUGGGCCCGCGGCCUAUCAGCUUGUUGGUGGGGUGAUGGCCUACCAAGGCGA
RNAcentral lists this ribosomal RNA (247 nucleotides) under uncultured Actinomycetes bacterium. Its description in RNAcentral is "uncultured actinobacterium partial 16S ribosomal RNA". It matches the Rfam family "Bacterial small subunit ribosomal RNA", at positions 28 to 276 of the family's 1533-position model. Lineage: Bacteria; Bacillati; Actinomycetota; Actinomycetes. The record is from RNAcentral.